This 369-nucleotide ribosomal RNA is filed under the name Triticum aestivum (bread wheat). RNAcentral describes it as "partial small subunit ribosomal RNA". The record is from RNAcentral. Lineage: Eukaryota; Viridiplantae; Streptophyta; Magnoliopsida; Poales; Poaceae.
AUAUUUUUUCAUUGCUCUUUGGCUAAAUUCCUUUGGAGUUGUAUUAGACUUUGGCUUCAUGUUAAUUGGAAUCCAUCUUCUUUCGAGGACUUGCGGCGCUGCGUCAGUACUUUAUCAGGCCGGUCUAAGAGGGUAUUCUGGGUUGGUUGGGCAGCGAUUUGUUGGUCACUGUGGACUACUAGAAACAAGUUCACUAUCGAACAUAUUUUCCCGGCUAACCCUGUGAAUUGCUUAUUUAAAGCCAAUGUCUUUUUGCAGCAGUGGAGAUCAUUGACUAAGGAAGUGGAUUUAGAGGCUUUCGACGACAUGUUAUCUAAGAUGAGAUCUACGGCUUCUUCCCUGCUGCGGCGAUCUAGGAGGAUGGCUUAA